GCUCUAGGAUAUCAGUAAGGCAAGGAUAGAAGGAGUGAGAAGGGUUUGAGGCCUAACAGCAUGGCACACCACUCCAGUCCAGACUGGGAAUCUAUGGGAUUUUCUGCUCAAUCAAUAAGGACUCUUAAGUCCUUCCGGGUUAACAUCCAGGAAGAUUGUACUUCAAAAGGACUGUUUAACCACGGGAUACCUUACUUCUAUUCUCCCCGGUAUCAUCUGGAUCAAUGUACAAGGACAAAAUUGAGGCCGCCAUUUCGUUUCCAGUCUCAUGUGCACUUGAGUACGGCAGAAAAACUUUGUGGUAUCUGCCUAUACAGAUAAGAACUCUUGCACUGCUUUUGUAAAUAAUGUUGUUGAUGUGUGACUUUUUCCUUGUAUUUUGAAAUGCUAUGCCUCUGGUUAUUAUAUGUGAGAUUUCCUAUCAUGUAUUGAUGACAAUAUGUAUUCUUUACCACUUUCUUUUGGAAUAAUACUCACUUUUGCAUCUA
Long non-coding RNA from Carassius gibelio (silver crucian carp), 488 nucleotides. RefSeq lists it as uncharacterized. The record is from RefSeq and is a predicted model, not a curated record. The transcript has 2 exons. Lineage: Eukaryota; Metazoa; Chordata; Actinopteri; Cypriniformes; Cyprinidae.